RNAcentral lists this long non-coding RNA (1099 nucleotides) under Homo sapiens (human). RNAcentral describes it as "HSALNT0046677". The record is from RNAcentral. Lineage: Eukaryota; Metazoa; Chordata; Mammalia; Primates; Hominidae.
GGAACAUUGCGACACUUGCAAGUUCUCCCUAGUUGUUAAGAUAGAAAGGCACUGUUCAUGAGGGGAAUCCUUUGGAAGUCCUGUCUUGCUGACAGAUAGGUCCCUUUGGAACAGAUUGGAGGUCUUCUCCCCACAGCAGAGGAAAAACAACAACAGCAACAACAAUACAAAAUGACAACAGAAAAAGCAAGUGUGAAGAGGUCCAAUCUUACCCAUGUUGGGGUUACCUCAUCUUGUUCUGACCAACACUACCAGCUAAAGUCCUCCAAAUAGUCAACAUCAACCCCCAGAAAUGUCUCCCUAUCCUUGGGGCACAACAAUAUUGAAAUAUGUACCAAUUAAUAACCCUACAAUGGUCUCACAUGUUCAAGUAGAAUAAAAGAGACGCACAUGUCUCACUUUCAAUUAAAAGCUAGAAAUGAUUAAGCUUUGUGAGAAAGUCAUGCCAAAAGCCAGCAUAGGCAAAAUAUUAGGCCUUUCAGGCCGGUUAACACAGUUGUGAAUGCAAACAAAAAGUUUUUGAAGGAAAUUAAAAGUGCUACUACAGGGAACACACAAAUGACAAGAAAACAAAAAAAAAAUCAGUUUUAUUGCUGAUAUGGAGAAAGUGGAUAGAACCUCAAAUUAGCCACAGCAUUCCUUAAGCCAAAACCUAAUCCAAAGCAAGGCCCACAGUCUUCCAAUUUUUUGAAAGCUAAGAGGUGAGGAAGCUGCAGAAGAAAAGUUGGAAGCUAGCAAAGACUAGUUUGGAAGGUUUAAGGAAAAAAUACAUCUCCAUAAAAUAAAAUUACAGGGUAAAUCAGCAAGUACUGAUGUAGAAGCUAAAGCAAGUUAUCCAGAAGAUCUAGCUAACAUUAUAGAUGAAGGCAACUACACUAAAUGACAGAUUUUCAAUGUAGAUGAAAAAGCCUUAUGUUGGAAGAAGAUGUCAUCUAUAACUUUCAUAGAUAGAGGAAGUCAAUGCCUAGCUUCAAAGGAAAGGCUGACUCUCAAGAGCUAAUGUAGCUGGUGACUUGAAGUUGAAGCCAGUGCUCAUUUACCAUUCCAAAAAUGCUAGAGCACUUAAAAAUUAUACUAAAUUGGGCUGGGCAUGGUGGCU